RNAcentral lists this long non-coding RNA (28862 nucleotides) under Equus caballus (horse). RNAcentral describes it as "lncRNA (ENSECAG00000046147.1)". Lineage: Eukaryota; Metazoa; Chordata; Mammalia; Perissodactyla; Equidae. The record is from RNAcentral.
GGGUACUGUAGCCGCCCCUGACACAGGAAGGGUUAAUAAUCACUGGAAAAAGCUUGCCAACAAACUGUGACCCGGAGGUGAGAAGGCCAGUUAGCCAAUGACGGGUAAGACCCCCUGGGGGGCAACCUAAGCCAGGCGGCGGCCGCCCGGGGGCACAGAUGGAGAAACGAUAUCGAUAUCGGGAGCAAGAGGGACCAAGGCCAGUUAGCCAAUGACGGGUAAGACCCCCUGGGGGGCAACCUAAGCCAGGCGGCGGCCGCCCGGGGGCACAGAUGGAGAAACGAUAUCGAUAUCGGGAGCAAGAGGGACCGUUGCCUAAGAGACCUUGCCUGCUCUGAGAUAAAAAUAUAGGAGCACAGCAACAACAUGAUAAUAUCAAAACAGAGGCCAAGAGAGGGCUCCUUGAGAAAUCACUAAGAAUUCUUGGCAUUCGCUAAUUACUUCAUCCAGAACACCUGUGUAUGUUUAACAGAUGUAAGCUAUGUAUAUAUUGAAACGCUGGUUAUAAUAAACUCAGAGUGGCCAUCAGCCCUCUCCGCAUCUAUCCUGAUGUGUACAUUGGAUUGUGACACCGACAGGUACAGAUGGCAAGAAUGAAGGGAACAUUAGCCAGUUCUGCCCUAGUUCAAUAAAAUUAUUAAGCACGUAUCCCCCAAUCAGAGGAAAGUGAAUGAUGUGUUUUAAAAAAAAGUGCCAGCAGCAGAAUUACUCUAAGACUGAAAGGCUCCCAGCACAACUUGGAAGUUUCUGUUACUGAUUUCAAAUGAGAAUUAUUGUUAAUAGGAAUAAAGUUAUUAUCGGCAUGAAUCACAGACACAGAAACCUGUUAACUUAAUAAUGUGGCAAACGUACUAUUAAUCUUUAGUGAAGCAAUAUUAAUAUAUUGCCUAAUCUAAGAAAAGGCUCCAGUGUCUUGAAAGCUUGAAAUCAUUUCUGCUUCUGCCUCAAGUUCUGAAAUCAUCCCCUUUUAAAAUUUUAAAUACUUUUAUUUCACAUAAGCCUCUGAGUAUUCAGAAAUAAUUGCUGUCAAUAGAGAUUCAUUUUCACCUUUGAAUGGCCAGUAAUGUCAAAUGGCAACGUCAUUGGCCUUCAUAUCAACAUAUUUUAAAUGUAUGUCUUGGAACUGAAGGUCAAUAAUGGCUACUAAAUUUAAAAUAUGGAAUUCUAUGAUGUUUUAUUCUUGGUACUUUGAUUGCCUUUAUACUGGUGAUUAUUUCAUCUGAAGGCAAAAAUCGAAUUCCAGCCUAUCUCAAUGGAAGUUCCUUUGCCUCCCUUGAGUACAUUUGAACCAUUUUCUUUGAAGUUUCUAGCACAACACUAGUAUAUAUAAUUUUGGAAACUAUACAGUCUGUAUCAGGGAUUUUUAACCCAGCUGCAAGACAGGCAUUGUGGGUAAUAGCAAAGUAUGGGAGUUGAUAUGAGUCCUAAAUUGGGAUGGCUGCUCUGUCAUAUAUUAGGAGGGUGACAUCGAACAAGUUGCAAGUUACUUAAUGUCUCUGAGCCUCGGAUUAAGGUUAACAGUAUCAGACAUAUAGGCUUGCUGUGGGGAUUAAAUUAGAUACUGUGAAGUCAUCUUUUAGAAGCUGUAACACGUAUAGGUGAUCAAUAAGUAUUAGUUUUUGUUCUUUGCAAUAAACUGGGCAUCUAGAUUUGGUGAGAUGCUUAAAAAUUAGUUUAUCAAAAUUUAUUGUAAUUUAUAUCAAAUUUAAAAAUACAUGACGGUUUGCAGCGAAGGAUCCAAUUUAGCCAAAAGAAAUGCCAGAUGUCACUGCAUUAUGAAGAUAAAAAAUCAGUAAUUUGUGCUAUGUGCACACAAGGUUCAAGGCUAGCUAUAGACCACUUAGUAAUUUUAUACUCAUUAUUAAUUUCUCCGUUCUAAGAUGCUUUUAUGAUAUAAAUGAUCAUUAUAUGGGUAAUAUUUUUGUGCUUUUGUGCCAGCUAUUGCUAUUGUGGAGUCGAGGGGGAGGUUGAACCUGCUAAGUCAGUCUAGCUUUCAUAUAUUGUUUAGAAGAAGGGUUGGCAAACUUUUCUAUAAAGAGCCAGGUAGUAAAUAUUUCCAAAUAUGGAUUCUAUUGGAACUACACAACUCGGUUGUUUUCAUGCGUAAGCAGACACAGUACAACGAACAAAUCAGAGUGGCUGUGUUCAAAUAAAACUUUAUUUACUUAUUUUGGAAAGGAAAAUUGGCCCUGAGCUAACGUCUGUGCCCAUUCUCCUCCACUUUGUACGUGGCAUGCUGCCACAGCAUGGCUUGACGAGCAGUGUGUAGGUCUGCACCCAGGAUCCAAACCCAUGAACUCAGGGCCAUCAAAGCAGAGCCCGCAAACUUAAUCACUACACCACCGGGCCAGUUCCUAAAUAAAACUUUAUGAUGGACACUGAAUUUUUAAUUUCAUGUAAUUUUCAUGAGCCACAAAAUAUUUUUCUUCUUUUGACUUUUUUCAACCACUUAAAAAUGUAAAAACCUACUUACCUUGAAGUACACACAAAAAAAGGCAGUGGGCUGGACUUGGCUUCCAGACAGAAAUUUGCAGACUCCUGGUUUGGAGGAGCAAGCAUUGUACUAAAGGUCAAGAGUUCUUUCACAACUAUUCACUGUGUGACCUACCCGACUUCUCCAAAAUCAUUUAAUUUUCCUGAGCCUCAGUUUCCUCUUCAACAAAUGAAGUAAUUGAGUAAAUUAAUCCCUAAGUUUCUUUUCAGCUUUAUUGUUUUAUGAUUUAUGAGUAGAACUCACUCAUUAGCUUUCUAAUUUCUAAGUUGAGGUUAGCAAUGAAGAUAGUCCCAAAUUUCUUCAAAGACUUUUAUAAUCAUUGAUAUUGCUUCAUAAGUAAGUUAGUCUUUGACGCUUAACCACGUUAAAAUGUUUUAAAAAUCACAUAUAUUUAUAAAAGGUACUUUAGACUUAGUGCUUUCUUUUUGACUUCUCCACAGCAUAAGGACUGAUUCACCAAGGAACUAAGAGUAGGUGGGGAGAGAAUCACUUGCUCAUUAGGACUUAUACUUAAGAGCACAGUGGAGGUGGUACUCAAAUCAGUCAAUUUAGCUACUUGUUAGUACCAGUUUUUAAAGGCUUAAUGAAGGAGGAAGGCAAAAUGUUUAGCUAAGGGAAGGUUGGGUAAUUGUCCAUAGAGCCUAUAUUUUCAUGCCCUACUCUUAUGCCUUACGCCUGUGCACCCUGAAGUAUUGUCUGCCCCUCCUGACAGACAUUUAUAGUUCUACAGGAGAAACAGCAUACGCAGAUUCUCCUCAGGUAUGCCUCUGCUUGACCCCUCUUAGCUCUUGAAAUUACAGGCUAUAAUGAUUAGAAGCCUUUAUAGGAUAACUGCCUGACAAAGUGUAUGGGAAGCGCUUGCUGGGGUGAAAACAAACGUUUAUUUAUAAUGUUAAUGUGCAAUCAUUUGAUUGUUGUGGAGGUAGUGUUAAUUAUGCUUCCUUACCUGCAUAAUGCACAUUCUGUGUAGGAGCUGAGAAAUGAAGAUAGGGAGAAGGGUGAAAAACAAUUUGUGUCUUCUACAUGGAGUUCACUGUAGCAGCCACCAUUUUUUUCCUUGGCAUGGUCUAACCAGCUUGUCACGCCUCUGCCAAGAUGGCAAUAUCGCAGACAGCAUGUUUUCAGUGCAUUAACAAACACCCUAAAGGUUGUCAGGAGGGAGCAACCUGCAAAUAAUUGGAGAUAUUAUGUAUUAGUAAAGGAAUUGUUCUUCAGUUUUCCAAGAUGUCCAUCAGAAAGACAACAAUUGCAAGGAUAAAGGGAAGUAAAGUGACUGAGAAGGUUUUAGCACCUAAGGGGUUGAAUUCAAAGGAAGAAGCUUCUGACAACGGUUCUGGCAUCCUGGUGACCAGCCCAAGGUGGUGCCUGACAGCUGAUGUAAAAAAUGAAAAAGGUAAGAUCAAUGGGAACAUAUUAAAAAGGGAAGAAGAGUAACAAAAUAAAAGACCAAAGUAAAAGAUUUCAGAAUCUCUCAGAAGUCUCUAACUUGAACUCAUUAAUGAAUAAGACAACUUGGACUUUCUUUUACAGCCUUAACACAAAGAACCGAUCCUAUUUUUUAACGUAAAUGGUUAUAUAAAUAAUCCUCACUUUACUUGUCAGGGAGAGGAUGGUUUCUUACUUUGACAUGGAGAUGAAGGGAAACAUAGUCCCUGCUUUGACUUUAUCCUUGAAUUUCAGACAUAAGAUUAAACUUUGAACUCUUCAAUGACUUUGUACUUGUUGAUAGUGUCACUCAAAGUUCAGAUUGCAUUAGUUGGCUUUUGACUUUUCCAGUAGCUUCCUCUGGGGUUAUGUGGCUGUCGCGUUAGCAUCAGAAGCAUUUUAUGGCCUUAGAAGCUUGCAGUCACUUACUGCUAGUGAUUUGCAACCUCAUUGUUGUUCAUUUUAUGACCUUUCAGAUUCCACCUUUUCUUUGACUCCAUUAGGACUUCCUGAUACAAUGACAGAUUAGAGACCCCCAUUUAGUUAGCAGUUCAGCUGUGCCAUCAUAAUUGUUACAAUUUUUCAUAGCACCCCUUUUGACCAGAUAAAUAUUUUCACAAAUUAUAUAGACAUCAAACCAUGGUUGUAGAAUAAAUGGUAUAAUAAAUGUUGAAAAGUUUGAGUUUCUCCAAAGAAGGCCAAUAGAGAAACUCAAAGUAUAGUUUGAUGGUCAUUUUGAUUAUGUUCAAGUUUCCUGUGAUAAAAUUCCAGGUGAAAUGCAUUCUAACCAAGUUCAUUUAAAUGUCAUAGAGUAUUGGCUUUUAUUUUUAAAUAAAGAAUAUUUAUUAAUAUUUCUUUUUAUGAUUAUAAAGUGAUUAUAUUGACUUGAUCUCAGUUGUAAUAGAACUAUUAUGUCAGCUUUUGAUUAAUUGAGGAAGCUGGAACCCUCAGAAUUGAAUAUGGAGCCUUUAACCUCUAAGUCACUGAAUCAAAUCCAGCCCAAAUUGGUAGUGACCAAGAAUGAUUACAACGAUGGCUCUUUGGUGGCCUCUAUGAAGUGUAUUUAGGUCAGGUGGACGUAUGUCAGGAUAACUGCUGACAGAAGGACUCAUAUCUAUAGUUACUACUGCCUCUUCUUAGUCACUAUUGCCAAACACACAUGAAAGGCCCAGGGACUGAGAAAGCCAAGGGUGCAGAAGCACCCACGAGUAGCCAAGCUUUGUAUCUCUUAGAAAGAAGUAAUAAGGACUUCUCUUUAUUAUUGCUAUUAUGAGACAUUUCUAGCUAUUUAAAUGAGUUUACUUAAGGUUUUAGUAAGUUGAGAACUGAGAAUGUUUUCAUGAACAGUCUAGAUACUGAAUUUGAACAGGUCUGGGCUAGGAGCUUAACUUCCUGACCUCUGCUUAUGAGCUUGUCUCUGUUGCUCAUCAACUGUUCUCUGCUCUGCUCUUGCAAAACAGUGCUGUUCAGAUAGUAGGGUUGUUACUGGCAUCGUUACAACUUACUCUAUGCUUUCAAACAGGCUUUAUUACGAAACGCUAACUAUGUGCAUGGUGAAAGACUAUUGGCAAAGAGAUUCUCCCCAAUUUCUCCUUUACUUUUUAAAUUCAUUAUAUUGAAUAUAACGUUUUAAACUCUCUAUUCCUUUUUUGUAUAAACAAAUCACUGUCUGUUGCAAGAUAAAUUUGAAUCUGCUUUUAAUUCAUGAUAAAUUUAAUAAUUUUAUUGAACAGUUAAAUAUCAUUAUUGUAUUAUUUCUAAAGGAAAGUAGCUUAGAUUAGUGCUUCUUAAACCAGCUGUGUUAAAAGAUCAGUUUUUUAAAAAAAUUUCUCAACAAUUAUGUCAAUACAUUUGUGAAAUACACUAAAAAUGAAAUACAUAAAGAAUAAAAUAAGACAAAGGCAAACAAAAUAUGCGUUGAUAUUUUUAUUAUUAGAUUCAACAGAUGAAAAAAUAUAACUUUCCAUAAAUAUUUCUCCAUGUUUUCUCUCAGUGUCUGAAUUUAUUUGUCUGCAUAUCGGUAACAAAAAGUCCAUUGAGCAGCCCUGCUCCAUGGAUCAGACUCUGAGUAGCACUGGCCAAAUUGAAUACAUACUCUGAAACAUGAAUUUAUUUAAACAAGUAAACUUGUAUCUGAUAUGGGGAUAUGAAGCCACAAAAACAAAACUGUUAAGAACAAGAAAUGAUUAAACAUGAAUGAGGUCUAAAAUUUUAACUAGCACUGAGAGUGUACAUAAUUGAUGCCAAACAAAUGUGAAUGCAAUCUGUUAUUCAUUCAACAUAUUUAUUAAGUACCUAUUAUGUGCCAGGAACUUUUCUAGGACUUGAGAAUAUAGCAGUGAAAAAGACCUACAAAUCCCUGAGUUUUUUUUCUGGUGGGGGAGAGAUUAAACAAGCAGAAAAAUAGUAUGGCAAGUUCACUGGUGGAAACAAAAUGGACUGAUAAGAUAGAGACCCAUUGUGUGGUAGGGUAUAGAGGAGCCCUAAAGAGUUGAAAUUUGAACUGAGAAUUGAAUGACUGCAAGUAGGUAAGAAGACGUGGAGGAAGCAUAUGCCAGACACGUCAUGAGGUAGAAAUGAGCUGGGAGAGGUUCAGGAACAGUAAAGGCCAAUGAGGCAGUGGCUCAGUUAGAAGAAGAUUGGAAGGAGACGAGGUCCAAGAGUUGGUCAGGAGUCAGACUUCACAGGCCAAAGCAAGGAGCUUGGAGUUUAUCUCCAGUGUUAUAGGAAACGACUAUGCAGUUGCUGGUCUGGUGGCGCUGUGGUUAAGUGCACACGUUCCACUUCAGCAGCCCGGGCUUCGCAGGUUCGGAUCCUGGGUGUGGACUUGGCACCGCUUGGCACACCAUGCUGUGUCAGGCAUCCCGCAUACAAAGUAGAGGAAAAUGGGAGCUCAGGGCCAGGCUUCCUCAGCAAGAAGAGGAGGAUUGGCAGCAGUUAGCUCACGGCUAAUCUUCCUCAAAAAAGAAAAAAAGUUUUAUGCAGUUCAGAGAUAUCAUAUUAGGUAAAUGUUUAAAAAGUUACUCUAAAACUCUUAUAGCUGUGUAGACAAUGUAUUUUAGGGGACUAGAGAGGAAGUUAGGGGACAGGCAAGAAGUUGUGGUGACUUGGACAUAUUAGUAGCAAGGAGGAGAAGUGAACAGAAUAUGUUUCUGAACAAUCAAUAGAAUUUUCUGACAUGGGGAAUGGAUAAAGAAAUGCGAAGAUUUGAUAAUACUACAUUUUUGUCCUUUAAACAAUGGGGUGAUGGUGACACGCUGAGGUGGAGAAAACAAGAAAGCAGUCAGUUUGUAGUUGGCUGAAUCAGGAGUCGAGUUUUUGUCAGGUUAAUUUGGAGGCGUCUAUUAGAGAACUAAGUGAAAAUGUCAAACAGGAAGUCACAUAUAUGAGUUUCAAGGUGAAGAGAGAAGUCAAUAUGAAAUUGAGUGUUUCUUGUGUCAUUGGCAUUAAAAGGCAUGAAACUAGAGAUUACUUAAGGAAAGAGGAUGGGAAGAGAAGACAUGAGGUCCCUUGAAGAAAUCCUAGGGCCCCCUGUCAGUUAGGAGAGUAUCAGAGGAGAAAAGUUAGCUUAGGAGACUGAGAAAGAGUGGGCGAGGUGCUAGAUGGGUCGUAAGUCAGAGGGAAAGAAGGGAGGGCAGUAACAAAACUAAAUUGACUAGCUGGACUGAGAGGGAGCCAAUAAGCUAGUUAGAGAGGGCAAGAAAAGGAACUGUAUAAUAAGGUGUGUACCCAAGGGGAGGAGGCGUUGUUCCAUCAAACCACAGAGUUCUCACUGAAUGUUAGGAGGGAUAUCCUAUUGAAAACAUCUGCAUCUAAAUAUCACACCACCUCCUUGGAUUAAUCCAUUAGACUUAAUAGAAAACUUAUGCCUUCUGUACAAAUAAUUUUGGGUGUCAUGUAGACUCAGGCUUAAAAAAAAAUCCAUUGUCAUUAUAAUUCUCAAAUUGCUUUUCUGCACCAGGAGCAGAAAUGAGAGGUUGAAAAAAAACUGGAAUGAAAAUGCAACUGAGACUUCAAGCUCCACUUUAAAUGUGCACGGCAAACACACCAGGCGUGCACAUUUUAAAAUAAAACAGAUGAGCUAUUUUAAAUGUUUUAUUGCAAAACUUAAAGAUUGUAGCUAUUACUAUUUAAAAAAAAAUAUUAGAAAGCAAUUUUUCUAUUCUUUGUACCUUUAAGUCCUUGGCUCUGAUGUUCUGCUCCUCUGACCUUGAUCUAAUCAUGAAUAUCUAUGCUACUUAAUUAUAAUAAAAAAAGCCUACAUUGCACUCUAGAUGGUAGAUGCACAUUUUUUCUUCUUUGGUCACCUGCCAGUUCUCAAAAUUAUAGCGGUGGGAAGAAAUGCAAAUGAAGGCUGUGCUUGACAGCUAAACAUAAUGGAAUGCAUGGUCCACAUUUGAAAAGUUACCUUAAAAUAAAAGGUAGCAUAUGAAAAAUCAUUUCUUUAAGGUCACCUAUGGCUUUGAAUUACAGCUUUGAGGAAUUUCCAAUUUAGUCAUCAGAAAGAAAGAAGCCAAAAUAAGGAUUAUAUACUUUGCUAGAAGGAAGACAGAGUUUACUUCAUCAUAGUUGGGUGAUCUUAUAACUUGGAAAUAGAAAACAAAACAAAAAACAACUCCAGAAUAUUCAUUUUGUAGAGUAUUGUGUAAAGUACACCACUGGUGAACAUUUUCUAUUAUAAUUUUACUUGCAGCUGAUAAAAUGUUUUCUUGUAAAUGUCCACAGAAAGGUUACCUUAUCACAUGUUAAAAUAUGUAACACAUGAACUACAAUAGGCUGGCAGUAAACAGAGUUGAUUAUAAAGAUCUGUUAUUUGAAGAAUUGUAUUUCUUUAUUCAGCUGAGUAUAUUUUCAAAUAGGAGAUUGGGAAGUGAAUGGAUGGCUGCUGCACAGCUAUUUAGAAAAUCGGAAUCUAAAAAUUAUGUAUGUACAUAUGUAUGUAUAUAUAUUACAAACACGCAGAAUUAUUUGAUAAUUACACACUCCAGAAAGUGCCAAAGUGGUCUUUCAAUAAACGUUUAUACUUUACAUUUUCUUCUUUCCUGCUAUUUGAGUCUGACAGAGACAAUGUCUCAGACGCAUUUUUGCACAUUGAACCCAUUCCACAGACUACCAGGAGCGCAUGUGCUGCUGAGCGGUGAUCCACAGACCACAGAGCUCUGAGAACAGGUGCAGAGGCUUCUGGGGGUGAUAUUUUCCCUGCUUCACUGACUGAGUAGAUGGUGUAAUAAAAUGAGCUCUAGACUGAGAAAAAUAAGACCUCGUUUCUGGUUCUACUUCCACCAUUUUCUGUGAGGUCUUGGGCAACUCAUUUAAUUAAAUUAUGUCUCCGUUUCAGCAGUCAGUUUAACAAUAGCAAACACUGAUCGAGCAUUUGCCACAUUCCAAGUAUUUAUAAGACACAGGAAUUUCUAAUCGUUUUCAUAAAGGGAUCAUUUCAACAUACUGUGGGAGAUGAAACAGUAAAGAUAUCUCAGGGUGUUACAGGAGCAGAGGUAAAGCAUAUGGAGUCUGGCCUGUAAAAGGAUAUACAGUGCCCCCCCGACCUACCUCACAGGUGUGUGGUCAAAAUGACCAAAGUAACACCAAAAGUAACAUUGGCGAAUGUGCUCAAUUUUUAAAAAUACAAGUGAUUGCACUGCCGUUAGUGGUAGUUGUAUAGAUAAGUAGUAGAAACAGUGGCAGUAGUCAAAGUACUACUAAAAGCAAAAUAUGUUAGAAAUUAAGUUCAGAGUUAAAUAAGACAGAUGAAUGGAUUGAGCAAAGGAACAGAAUAGAAACUCCAGAAAUUCAAGUGGCAGUAUACAAUGAAGAUGACAACUCCAAUUAGUGGGGAAAAUAUAGACUUUUUAAUAAGUGAGUUUAGAUAACUUAAUAGUCAUACAAAAAAAAAAGAUAAAGUUGAGUUCACUCUUAAAACCUAUUCUAAUACAAUUUCCAAAUGGGUCAGAGAUGCAAAGGUAAAAAAAAAGAAAGGAAAUAAUAUGAGUACCCAAAGAUAAUAUGAGUGAACUCCUUUACAAUCCGGGAGUGAAGAAAACUUUUCCGACAUGAUUCAAAAUUUAUGAGCAGUAAGAGAGGAGAUUCAUAAAUUUGACUUAUAAACAUAAACCUCCCCAAAAGACAAAAAACAAAAACUUAGGAAGUCUUAUGCUUGCAAAAUAACUCAAGAAGCAAAGUUAAAAAUAUGUGACAAACGGGAAAUAUUUGCAACUUCUAUCAUAGACAAAAAGUAAUAUCCCUAAUAUAUAAAAAUCUUCUAAAAACUGAAAGAAAAAAAUCCAAGGCCCUAUAGAAAAAAUGGACUAGAUAGAUGAACAGGUAGUUCACUUAAAAAAAGAACAAAUUGCUCUAUAGCAAUGAAAAGAUGUUCAACUUUCUCAUAAUUAGAGAAAUGUUAAUUAAAACCUCACUGAGAUGCCAUUUCCCAUCCUCAAAUUGGCAAAAAUCCAAAAGCUUGAUAACAUACUCUGUUGGAGGACUAUGGGGAAACAGGCGUUCUCAUACAUUUUUGGUGAAAACACAAUAUGGUACAACCACUACAGAAGGGAAUUUGGCAAUAUAUAGCAAAAUUAUCUAUGGAUUUACUUUCUGACUUAGCAAUCCUACUUGUAGGAAUCUAUCCUAAAGAUAUGCUGGGAAAAAAAUGCAAAGAGAAGUAUGCACCAAGAUAUUCAUUAGAACCUACAAAAGUAAAGAAAAAACUCAAAUGUCCAUCAAUAUAAGACUGGUGAAAGAGACAAUAGUUCACCACACAAUGGAAUACUAUGCAGCUAUAAAAAGGAAUGGGGAAUAUUUGUAUAUACAAUGGAAGCAAUCCGUAGGUUAUAUUAAAUGAAAAAAGCACAUGAGAAAAGUAUGGAUAAUAUGCUACUGCUUAUAUAAGAAGGGGCAAAAAUACAUACAUAUACAUAGAAACACAAGCACACAUAUGUAAAAUUUUAAUAUUUUCCUCUAUUAAAAUAAUAGAAGAAGAAUUCUUUAAAAAUAUGUAAAUGGACACCUAAAGGAAUGAGAGGAUACAUGAAUAUAAGUCGAACUUGUUUUGUACAUGGAUUUUUAGAAACAUGAAACUAUAUACACAAUUUAAAAAACUUAAAUUUUAAAAAUACCUCAAAGCAUAAAGGAAAAUGGAACAAAUGUGCUUAAUUGUGUUUAAAGUUAAGUUAGUGGGAUAACCAGACAGAGAGGACUAUACCAGGUGACUUUAAAACAAUAAUUUUAGUGUACAUUCCCAGGGAUUAUAACAUGAAAAAAAACUGCAAGAAGAAUCUUGAAAGUGUUUUCAAUAGCCAUAUUAGGAUAAAGCAAAUAUGCAAAUAUAUUGCUGUCAUUGAGAACUGGGAUUUUUGUCAUGGGAAGACGUCGAAAAAGAUCUGAGUUUGGUAAGGUUUAGUAAAAAUCUGUAGCACUGGCUUUGGUUAGGGUAUUACUAUCCUCCAUAAUGUACAUUAUCUUAGAAAGAAAAAAAAUUUCCAGCUUUGUGCACUGACAAGACCUGGAAACUGUGAUAGACUAAGUAGCUGUAAGCUGUAAGCUGCAAGCUACAAUGGGGAUGUAAGCAUCCCCAUUGAGAAGACUGUAGUUUAUAAAUACCGUUAUACACGAAAAGGAAACACAAUUCUUUGGAGAAAGAGAUGAUGCAAAGUUUAGGGGAGGAAAUCACGACCAGAGAAUAUCUUGGUAUACCAGAAAGCAGGGAAGCAAUCGGUGAUAACAGAGGCUUGUCUGGAGGACUCAGGCACCAGCAUGAAGACGACCCCACUGUCCAAAUAGGGAAAAAUUUGAGCAUCAAUAAUUGUAGUAGAUUGAAACACAUUGAAAAAUUUAAGUCCACGAAUUAACAGUAAUAGUUUAAAAAAACUGCUAAAGAUCAUCUUUAGAAGAUAUUGAAGCUCAAUUCAUUAUUUUGAAAAUCUAAAAAUAGAGGGAAAGAAUUAGACAUUUAUCUUCUUCUUCUUACAUAAACUGUGCCUCUGUGUAAUUAAAUGGUUGAUGAAGAGAGAUUUCUAUUUCUUCAGCUAAUAAAAGAAGUGUAGACUAUCACUACCUUGCAACCCCCAAAAGAGUAGUAGGCAAAAGUCAUCAAUGGAUGUUGACAUGGCGAAAACAGAGAUAGUCAGAUACUAUGCCUCUUGACUGAAGUACAUACUGCCAUCUAUGAAGGAGUUUUGCCCCCCUCAAUAAAAAAUCUGAAUAUGAUAGAGCAUCUAAGUCUAUCAGACAAUUUACAGGAAAUACAGAGGGAGAAAACCUGUGGGAUGAAACCAAGUGGAUGUAAUCAGCAAGAUCCAGAUGAUGGGAAAUGCUCUAUGAAAUGCUCAGAUUUCUUAAAAAAAAAUGAAAAGAGAGAGACAGAGAUGAAGAGGGGCCAUAUAUAUGGUUUAAGGGACAUACAUGCCAACUGCAAUAUAUGGGCCUUGUUUGGACUUGAUUUGAACUAUAAAACAAAACAAAAUAAAUUUAAAAAUUGGAAACAGAGAGAUUUUAAUAGUGACCAGAUAUUUGAUGGUAUUCGCUCCUUCCAUAUGUGUGUGUGUUAUAUAUGUUAAAUACUUUAAAAAAGACAUAAUCACAGUGUCAUUAUUACACACACACAUAAACGAAAUGUUAUAUUUAGUUUUUGCUUCAAAAUUACCAGGUGAGAUGGGGCAAAAGUGAAUGGAGAUGGGUUGAUAAUUGUUGAAGCUGAAGGCUAGAUAGAUGGAGUUCAUAUAUGAUUUUUUUCUACUUUUAUGUUUAAAAUAUUCCAUUAUUAAAACUUUUUUAACAAGGGAAAAAUAAAAGAAGAUAAGGAUUCUUGAGAUUCUUGCAGACAUUGUUACUCUUAAGUGUAAUAACUGGCAGAAUCUACAAAUUCUGUGAGUUGAAAGUGAAGUUAUAGGGAACCGAAUAGAAAAGAGAUGUGUCAAGAAAACCAUAAAAGCCAAAAAAUUUAAUGCAAAGCGUGAUUUACUUACAUUUUUCUGGCUGAUAGAUCAGGUUAUAGUGCAUCAUAGGAAAAGUUAUCAGAGCCAAAAGCGUAGACGUAAAAGGAAUAAGUAAAACCAGAGCCCAGGCCCCUGAGUGCCGGAUGUAAGAUAUUCCUGGAAAGAUAGCAGUUGCAUUUAGGUUCACGAUCCAAUAAAAAUUGGGGUACACAGACAGAUGAAAAUAAAAGUAUCAUUGAGAUACUUCCAAUAACAGCUGCUAAUUAGAAUGCUUUUACAUAAAUGUAAGCUAUAAAAUAGUGGCAUGUUAGACUUUGUAAAUAUUGUUUCUUAGAGUUCUUAAUAAGUGUAUCCACAUCACCUACGUCUUAUCAGUUUCAUUAUCUUUGUUUCAUUCCUCUUUAGAAUAGACGUAUAGUAUAUUCUCUUUUAUCUAAAGCAGCAGUUGACAAAUUUUUUUCUGUAAAGCACUUAAUAGUAAAUAUUUUAGGCUUUGCAGGCCCUAAGGUCUCUACAGCAACUGCUCAACUCUGUGUUGUGGCGCUAAAGAAGCCAUACUGCAUAGCUGAAUACACCUACUGAACCUGGAAAAGGUAACGUGGUUAAGGAGUUGGGUCUUCCUAUUUAUUCCACUUUUCAAAGUAUGGGAAAACUCAGGAACACUCAGGUUAUACCCAGACCAUGCAUUAAACCAAAGAAAUGAGUGUCAUUUGCAUAAAACUUUUAGCGUCUCCUGUAAAGAUUAGUUUUACAAAUAAGUACCCAUCCCAAUGGUCUGUUUUGCAAGUUCUGAGGAAAUCACUUCUCCCUCUCAACCCUUCAUUGGGUGUAAAUCCUGCUGUUAGAAUCCCAUUGCAGGGGGGAGGAGGUGUCUUAACAUUAACUUAAAACAAUUAUUGAGGUAAAAUUAAAUAUGAUAAAAUUUACUCAUUUAAAUAUAUAGCUUUAUGAAUUUUGGUAAAUGUUUCAGUUGUGCAAACACUAAUAGAUCUAAGUUUUAGAACACAAAUUAUCACAAAAAUUUAAAGGGCUUAGCUGAUUAGAUCAGGCCCACCCAGGAUACCCGGAUAAUCUCCUCUUUGAUUAACUCAAAAGCUGAUUCGAGACCUUAAUUGCAUUGCAAAUCCCUUCACCUUUACCAUACAACAUAACAGAAUCAGGGGAUGAUAUCCCGUCAUCAUUGCCAUGUUCUGUUGUCUAGAAUCUGGUCACAGGUUGUUUUCCACACUCAGGGGGAUGGGUCUAUCAAGAGUGUGACCUAUUCAGGGUCAUCCUAUGGUAUUUCCUGUACAUCUUCUAAUUGAUCCUUCCUUCCCUCCUUCCUUCCUCCCUUCCUUCCCUCCUUCCUUCCUUCCUUUCUUCCUACCUCCCUUCUUUCCCUCUCUCCUUCCUUUUUGGCUUUCUCCCUUCUUCUUCUCUACUUUCCUCUACAUGAAAGAAGAAGCAGAGUCAACAGGUAAGACUGGCUAUGGGAAGGGGAUAUUGAAGGCUUGAGAAGAAAGGAAAAGAUCAGAAAUAGUCACACGAGGAAGACGAUAGGGAAGGAGUGGAAACCGUAAACUUGCUAGGCGAUGGUAACGGGCUACUUGAGGUUGGUCAUGAAGUUAAUGUGAACAUAGCACGAUUUUGGCAUUUUUCUCCAGACUUGUUUGCCUGUGUGAGUACAGUAACGGAACAGGCGGAGAGCUGAAUUUUACCCAGGAUUAUUUCCUCUGUUGCUCAGAAGAGUACUGCAAAGUGAGGGGAGGGAGAGGGAGGAAUUACAUUGUUAAUUAAUUGAGGAGCAGCCUCUUUACCCCACCUCAUUCCACUUGCUGUUGGAAAUGGAGUCUCGGUUCCCUGCUGUGCCCAGCUGACAGGACCCAGGAGGGCGGAUGGGAGCACUGCCUGUUUCUGGUGGGCAGGGGAUGGAAGACCUCUCUUUGCUUGGCCCGAACACCACCACUCAGGCUGGGGAAUCAGAGUGUCCCUGCCUGCUUCUGCUCAAGUGUGUGUAUGUGUGUGUGUGUAAAAUAUUAGAUUCCUGUUUCUUGCUGAAACAAUAGGGCCAGAGGGGCGGAGGGAAUGCAGUCUUUCCAGAGUGUUUGUCUGAAGUAGGGCAACUAUUGUCAAACAGAUUAUCUCUUAUGUUAGGCUACUAUUUUUCUAGUACUUUGCCUAAGGGGAGCAGACUUUUCUGGGAUCUUCUCCAGCUCUCCCCCAACCCUUGCCCCCACCAUACCUCUUGCUGCUGCCAGGUUAUAGAUUUCUCCAUUGCCCUGACUGUUGGCAAAAGGAAAACUCACUGCUGUCCUCUCUCAAGUUCUAAGAUCUCUAGGUAGAGACUCUCUUCUUUCUUCCACCUUUCAGAACCUUCCUAAGUUUGCUGUGUUAUGUCAGGGUUUUUAAGAUAUAAAAAGGAGGACCUGGAAUGAAUGGGGCUGCUCUCUUGGCCUAUCCCGGAAAUUCUCUCUGUUCCUUCAGUUGGGUAAUUUGUCUUCUUGUUGUUGAUUUGUAAAAGUUCUUUAUAUGUUCUCCAUGCAUGUCUUUUGUCAGAUAUAUGUACUACAAAUGUUCUCUCCCAAUCUGUGGCUUGCCUUUUUAUUGUCUUAAUAAAAUCUCCUGAUAAGCAAAAGCUUUUAAUUUUAAUAAAUUUUGACUCAUCAAUUUUUUUGUUGGUUCAUGCUUUUUGUGUCCUAUGUAAAGAAUACUUUCUAAAUGCAGGUCACAAGUUUUUCUCCUUUUUUUUUUUUCAGUGGUUUUAUAGUUUUAGAUCUUUUGUAAGGUCAAUGAUCCACUUUGAAUUAAUUUUUCAGUAGGAUGUUACGGGUAAUCUUUUUCUAUAUGAUAUACAGCUACUCCAGCACAAUUUAUUGACAACAUGAUCUUUUCUCCAUUGAAUGUUUUUAGCAGCUUUUUGGAAAAUCAAUUGGCCAUGUAAACGUGUUAUUUUUUCCUGAUUCUCAAUUCUUUCUGCUAAUCUCUCCUUGUGCCAAUACCAUACUGUCAUUACUGUUGCUUUUUUCUCUUUUUUAAACAGCUUUAUUGAGAUAUAACUGACAUAUAAUAAACUGCAUAUGUUUAAAGUGUACAAUUUGAUGUUUUGACUAUGUAUCUACCCAUGAAAUGAUCACCACAUUCAAGACAGUGAACAUAUCCAUCAUUCCCAAAAGUUUCCCUAUGUCCCUUGAUAAUCCCUCCCUAUUGCUUCUUCUUGCCAUUUCCUCAUCUCCAGGCAACCACUGAUCUUUUCUGUCACUAUUGGUUAGUUUGCAAUUAAAUAGAAUUAUCAAGUAUGCACUCAUUUUACCUGGCUUCUUUCAAUUAGCGUAAUUAUUUUGAGAGUCAUCCGUGUUGUCAUGUUUAUCAGUAGUUCAUUCCUUUUUAUUCACAAGUAAUAUUUCAUUAUAUAUAUAUAUAUAUACUACAACUUAUCUUAUUUAUCCAUUUAUCUGUUGAUGGACAAUUUCCAGCUUAUGGCUAUUACAAAUAGUGUUGUUAUCAACAUUCAUGUGUAAGUGUUUGUAUAGCUAUAGACUUUCAUUUCUCUUUAGUAAAAACUUAGGAGUGAAAUGGCAGGGUGAUAUGGUGGAUGUAUAUUUAACAUUUUAAGAAAUUUUCAAAUGGUUUUCAAGUGGUUGUAACAUUUUACAUUACCACCACCUGUGUGUGAGAGUUCUAAUCCCUCCAAAGCUUGGGCAACACUUGGUAUGGUCAAUCUUUAAUUUUAGCCAUUUUGAUAGACGGUAUCCCAUUGUGGUUUUAUUUCGCAUUUCCAUGAUGACGAAUCAUAUUGAGCAUCUUUUCAUGUGCUUGAUGGCCAUCUGUAUAUCAUCUUCGGUGCAGUUUCUCUUCAAAUAUUUUGGCCGUUUUUUAAACAUUGAGUUGUUUGUUUUUUUUUAUUAUUGAGUUUUAAGAAUUCUUUAUAUAUUGUGGAUACAAGUUCUUUAUUAAAUAUGUGAUUUGCAAAUAUUUUCUCCAGUGUGUGGCUCAUUCUCUUAAUAGUACCUUUUGAAGGGCAGAAAUUCUUAAUUUUGAUGAAGUCCAAUUAUUUUUUUUUCUUUGACAGAUCAUGCUCGUAGUGUCGUAUUUGGGAAAUCUUUACCUAAAUGAAGGUAAUAAAAAUUUUCUCCCUCUUUUUCAGAGAGGAAAUCUGAGCGCUGGAGAACGGAAGUGACUCAGCUGUGUUGCUGCAGAGCCAGCAGUAAAAGCCACCUGUUCUGGUGCAGCCUCUAAGGAGAGGCUAACUGGGCUAGGUGUCCUUUUUAUAUUUCUUUCCAGUUAUUGAUUUUAUGACAUCACCAUUUCCUCAUUAAUCCAGCCUUUGACAUUUAAAAUUACCUUUCAGUCAUGCCUCUCACCACAUUUUACAUAUCAUUAAUUAUAAAUACUGUGUUUUCCUUUCAGAAUGGUGGUCAGAAGAGAUGAGUUUGAGUCAUAGCUCUGACAGUCACAUGAUCUGUGAUCUUAGGCUCUCUGGAAUUCCAAGUCUUCAUUUUAAAAAUAAGGAUCAUACCUGCUGGACAGAGUUUUUUCAAAGACUGAAUGAAGAACACAGACUAGCUGCACAGUGCCAAGCAAAUGUUGUUGCUGUUCUGAAUUUUUCUCCACUCUCAAUUUCAGGAAGAAAAAGAACAGUGAAGUUGGAGCAUAGUGAGAAAGGAAAAGAGCUUUAGAAGAGAAGAUCCAGCAGUUAAGUGUGGUCCAGAUCCCUUAGGACCCUGAAGCCCAUAGAUGCUGCCACAGCAUGGCUUGACAAGUCGUGUGUAGGUCUGCACCUGAGAUCAGAACCCGAGAACCCCAGGCUGCUGAAGCAGAGUGCAUGAACUUAACCACUAUGCCACCAGGCUGGCCCCAAGGGAAACGCUUUAUUUUAAUGCUAAGUAUUGCUGAGAAAAUCCAGGAGGACGCUGUGUGACUCUUUAGUACACAACAUGGUGAUGUAAACUGAAUUACUCUAAAGAGGGUCAAGGAAAAUUACAAUUAUUCCAAGACUUAAAUCUUGUGAAAGGUAGUUAGAAACCAAAGAAUUAUGGUGCUGAGUAUCUAUGUAUGGAAAGAGAUUUCACAUAAAGUACUAAAUGCGUUUUUAAUGAAUGCCACCCAACCUAUUUGAUUUGUAAUUUUCUGAAAGAAUGACCUAGUACAGGCAUGUUUUAUAUAUGUCUUUGUUGAUCCAUGGACAGGACUAGCCACAGAUAAUUAAAGGUGAAAUUGUAUAUGUACCAACUGUAAAAAAAUAAAAGAAAUAAAAAUCCACAGUCUUCAAACUCACCAUUAAGACUCCUUUCAUCUCAUAGCUCACUAGCAAAUUGAAUAUAUAAAGCACCUCUCACCCAGAAAGUCAGAGAGCAAAGCACUAAAGCAAAACAAAUACCAGUGAUUAAGGAAAAUUGAAAGCAGCAGUAAAAAUAAGUUUCUUUAGUCUACUUUUAAAUACAGACUAGGAACUGCAAAUAAGUGGUAAUUUUUUCUGUCUUUAUGAUUCUAUGGUGUUGAAUGCAAAUAAGGAAACAAAACUUGUUGCUGCAAAACUCAGCAAUCCUUUUGAGAUUAUUUACUUUAAACAUUCACCUUAAUUUAUCUCGUAGUAAUUUUUAAAGUCACUCAAAUAUUUUGUCAUUUCUUAGACUGACCGAUUUUGACAUGCUUCAGACUUUUUAAGUGAUUUUAGAGAAACAGUUUAAAAUGAUCUUUCCUAACUUGAAAAGGUGUCAGUGAGGGGAGGUACUUGCAGGUCUUCAUAGCAGUAGUGGACAAUUUGAAGAGUUCAAAGAGAAGGUUUUAUUCUGUAUUUAAAAAUAUUGAGAUAAUUCACUGGGGAUUUGCGGCUCUUCAAUGGGAUAAAAUUGGACGACUUAGAAGAGUCAGGGAAACACUUGGGCUCUGAUUUCAUGGUGGAUGGCUGUUGUGAACUCUUGCUUCUUUUAGCAUAACCAUUGGCCCAUCAAAGUUCUUCAAAGAACACUCUGGCUGUCAUGAAUUUGGAGAAAGAAGGAGCAAAGGGAAAUCUUACAGUCCUCACUUUUUGUGUAUGUGAGGAAAAUUCGCCCUCAGCUAACAUCCCUUGCCAAUCCUCCUCUUUUAUUUGCUUGAAGAAGAUUAGCCCUGAGCUAACAUCUGCACCGGUCUCCCUUUACUUUGUAUGUGGGAUACCUCCACAGCAUGGCUGACUCCUGGAGUAGGUCUGCACCUGGGACGCUAACCUGUGAACCCAAGCCACUGAAGUGGCGUGCAUGCAACUUUAACCACUCGGCCCUGGGGCUGGCCCUUACAGUUCUUAUUUUUUAUCUAUAAUUUUUUUCAACAACGCUGUUAAAUGAAAGGCAGUUUAAUAAAGGCAGAUCAUUGGUUUUGGUGAAUAGACAGCAAGAUUAAGGUAAUAGUUAUAUUUUUAAUUAAGAAAUUUGGGGCAUGCCUGUCUUUCUCUCCCUUUUGCUUUUUUUUUUUUUUCUUUGCUGGUAAAGUUUCACCUUAAGCUAACAUCUGUUGCCAAUCUUCCUCUUUUUUUCUUUUUCCUCCACAAAGCCCCAGUGCAUGGUUGUGUAUCCCAGUUUUAAGUCCUUCUAGUUCUUCUAUGUGAACCGCCACCACAGCAUGGCACUAGGCUAUCAGGGCUGGCGCUCUCUCACUCUUUUAACUUGCUGUCAUUCCCUGUCUCUUUUUUCCCUUUCUUUUGUCAACAUCCCAAUUUUAAUAGUGUUUAUGUCAUUUUCUCAUUUCCUGAGUGUAAGAUCUUUGAACCAGUGCGUGUUUACUGAUGAAAAUAAGUCCUUACUCACACACCUGCCAAGUUUAAAAGCAACCAAACAGGGCUUAAGGAAAAGCAGGAGGCGACAGAAGCAGUAAGAAAUUUGUCUUUCUUCUUUUUUUCCUCAAUAUUCUUUGGUAUCCAUAGUUCUAUUUUGGAGAGGAAUUCUGAGUGUAUUUCCUGAAGGCUUACAAUUUUAGCAAAGGUGAAGAAGGAGGUGCCUGCUGUUAUUAGAGUGAGCGGGUAGCAUUUGUUAAACUUCGCUACACCCCACGCAAAUAGAAUUUUGGCAGGUCUAGUGAUUUUUUUAAAGUUAUUUACAGGCUAUUCCUCAGUAUGCAACUCAGAGGAUAUUUUGAGUAUUAAUGUGUAUUAAUAAGAUUAUCCCAUGAGCUGCUUUGCUUUCGUUGGCUGAAAUGCACCUUAUAAAUUAUGAUUUCGCUAUUGCUGAAUAACAUAGAUUCAUAUUUUGUUUCUCUUCUCAAGGAUUAGGUAGAAUUUUUCAUUCAGGCAGAUUUCUAAAUGGGUAAGAAAUUGCUAUGAAUCAUGAAAAGUUUCCAAAGCAGGCUGGCACCCAGGGGGUGCACUCAAACAAUGUUUAGUUCCAUUUCUUUUAAAAGCUCUUUCUAGAUCACUUUGGAAUGCUCUCAUGUCUCUGGAAUUGUUUCGCCAGUUAUGCUCCCAAGUAAUUCUCAUCUAGGAGGUUGAGGAUGGGGCCUAGGAAACGUUUUUAAACAAAGCCCUCAUGUGAUUCUUAAAAUUAGGCAACACUGUCUGAGAGCAGUGGUUCUCAAACCUGAAUACUUAGGCAGCUUUUAAAAAAAUCUGGAUCUCUGGGACCCACCUCAAACUGAUAUACUCGGAACCUCUGAAGGCAGGGCCCAGGCACCAGUAUUUUGGAAGAGGCCUCUGUCGGCUUUCAUGUACAUCUAGGAUGAGAAUCACUGCUUUCAUACAACGCUGAAGUGAAUGUUAAAACAGCUUCUGGAAAAAUGCUGUGGGAUAAUAAGUUUUUACCUCUAGUGUUUCCCUAAGUUACAAGAUGCUAAAUACGAGUAAGUAAGUAUUAAAAUCAAAACUUUUUCAUAUAAAACAGAUAUUAUGUAGGGUCAAUUUGAGUACCAGAUAUUCAAAAUUUCUGGGAUGCAAUAAGUCAGACUCUAGAAUUUUUCAAAAACUUUAGCUAUAUCCUAUUUGGUCCUUUAAAUCAUGCAUAAUUCACUCUGGUAACUGGUUAGCAACAGACUAUGAUAUGCAGAUGGGAUGCAAAUUAUCAGGUAAAGGAAGUAGAGAAAUGUGAAAGCAAGAUUUGAGGUUAAUUGUGGUAGAAUUUAAAAUUAUGCUUAUGAAAAGACUUAAUUAUCCACCUUUCUUUUUGCUUCCAGAAAAGAUUCUGCACAGGUGUAUUUGCCUAGAUGAUCUCCAGUGUGGUGACUCUUAAUUGUACACCUCAGAUUUUGGAAAAUGCUGAAAGAGCCAGGUUCUGAUCUGGAUAAUUACAUAAAGAUGUUGGCAGAUUACUAUGCCUCUUGAUUUUAGGGAGUUUAGCUUUAUUCUUUCAAUGAGGUACAUAGUUGAGGAAGAUCCAGUACCAGAUGGCAAUGUUGGCUAGGAGUGGUUUUCUCACCUACAUUUGGCAGCUCUACUCGGAAGCAGUGCUUUCAAUGCCUGAGACUUCCAGUCUAUACUACUUAACAGGAUCAUUGGGAAGCUUUAGGUGGUAUAGAUGCAAUGACACAUCUCAUUAAAGGUCCUGUAACUAUGAACAUCUGACAUCUGUGCUGAAAAUAGAACUGGAGGCAGCUUUCAAGUGGUUAUAGAUUCAAGUAGUAUGUUGUUUUUUAAAGACAUGACUGCAAUUUGUUAUAUUAACCAGGCUUAUAAUUUCUAGAGGCAUUUUUGACUUGGAGACAUAGAUUAUAAGUUAACGGCUGCCCAUUUUAAAGAUGACCUCCUCCUAAAUGGGUUCCCUCUUUCCCAGAAUUAAGACAAUGAUUUUAGCUGAUGACAUUUGUCAUUUAAUAAUAGCAGUAGCGAACAUGGUUUGAAAAGCUAUAAUGUGCUGGAAUUCUUUAUAUAUAAGCUAUACAACAGCCGUGCAAGCUGGCUGAGGGUCCUGGGGCUCUGAGAGGUUAAGGAACAUGCUGAAGAUCAUAAAACUCCUAAGGAUCUACCAGCUAUCUGGCUGCCCAGCAGGAUGUCUGUCCAUCUUGCAGCCAACCCCUGCAGUAUGUACAGGAAUAGAGUUAGCAUUCAUUUCUACAAGUUGCAACAAGCGCUUGUUCAUAAAAGUUUUCCUUUAGUUUUGUUUUUAAACUUAAAAAACCCACAAAAAACGGAAACAGCCAGGUUCAGCCUUCAAGAACUUGCCAUCUAAAUAGUCCUUUAUCACAUUAAAGAAUAAUGCUCUGAUUCUUUAUACAGAUUUCUAGGUGCUUUCAUUUUAGCUUUUAAAAAUAGUGCAUGAUUUUUUUUAUCAGAGAUUUUAAUGACGUUAGGAAAUAAUAAGUAACCAAAUCAAAACGUGUUCAUCCCACAUUUAGCCUGGCUCCUCACAGCUGCAGAAAUUCAUUUUCACCCCAUUACCCCACCCCCUUCCCAAAGUCCUAAAGCACAAAUCCAUUGGGAGUCCUCUCCGUUUCCCAAAAGAAAUAUUUCAUUCAUAUAAUGUCUCCUUUGUAAUCAACACUGAGAAAUGUCACUUUGAUUAAACACAACUCUGAAUGACUAAGACCACAGUACAAUAAAUUCUCCAGAGCUAUCUUUCAGAGCAACUGAUUGCUCUCCAGUCUUAAUCCUCCAGAGUCUUAUUUAAUCAAAAUGAUGUUGCUAAUUAAGGAUUAAAACCUCCGAAUAGAAUAAAAAAGAAGGAUUUUUCUUUCUCCUUUGGGCAGGUCAAGGAGGCAGAAUUUGUUAUAAGGAAGUAAAAAGUCCCUUCCACCUUUGGUAAAAUUGCAUUAUUCUCUGACGUUGGACUUAAUCCAAAAUAGGCUUGAGUCUUUUGUAAUAUUAAUAUAAUUGAAGAAAGAGAAAGAGAGAGGAAUAAAGGAGAAAAGAAAGUAAAGGAAGUAAGGAAGGAAGAAAGAGAGACAGAGAGAGAGGGAGACAGAAAGAAAGGAAGGAAGGAACGAAGAAAAGAAGGAAGAGAGAGAGAGAAAGAAAGUAAGAAAAAAAGAAGGAAAGAAAUGAACGAACACCCUGCCCUGGAUAGCUACAUAUACCUAGAUAACAUUUAUUCUAAAAUUUUUUCAAUUAAUACUUUUAAUAUGAAUUUUCUUCAACAUUUUGUCUGAUGCUGUCUGUGCAUUGCUUUUAUCUGUUACUAACAUUGAUGGAAAGACAGUACUUUAGAAAAAUGUUGGCAACCCAUUUCACAGAAAAGAGGAAACAGAAGACAACGUAUGUCAGAUCUAUUUGACAUCCACUAAUGAAUACCAAUAACAAAAACAAAAUUCUCUAUUAAAUGCUAAAAUUCUCUACUUUAAGAACAAUAUUUCAAUUUUUCUCUUGAAUUUGUAGUCGAUAAUAAAAAUUGGUUCCUUAAAAACACAUAAAACUGCACAAGAACUCACUGAGAGAGACAAAGAUUCUCAAAAGUGAUUUUUAUGGAAUACAAACUCUUUUAGGUGUUGGGGUGAAGUGAAUGCAAAACAGAGGUGCUGGUUGAUGUUUUAACAAAGGGCAAAACAUUUCUUCCAUCCUUUUCAUCUUCUCUCUGCACUGGCCUGUGAAUUUCUAACCCCUGCCAAAUUAGUCAAUUACGAUGUAAUAAGUAAUAACAACAGCUAGCAGGUAUUGAUCACCUAUUAUGUACCAGAUUCUCUGCCAGUGAUCUGCACAUUAUUACCUCUAAUAAAACCCAAGAAGAGGUAUUAUUAUAAACCCUUUAGAAAUGAUUAAACUGAAGCUUAUAGAGAAUAAACAACUUGACCAAGGUCAGGCAUCUUGUGCUAAGUAGAGGUGAGAAUUCCAUUCAGCCCUCUUCAUCUCCAAAGCCACGUUCUAUUCAAUAUGACAAACCACUUCAGACUUGUUUACUUAGAGGUCAAAUUUCUCAAUGAGUUUCUAGAAGGUUCUGGUAAACUGUGUUGGUCUGUAUCUGACUCAUAUGCUCCGACGAUUUCUGACUGAAUCAUUGCCGCAGGCACCAUCACAUUGUCAAUUACCCAGCCCAACCAAUGACAAAGACUGAACUACUACCAUCAAAAUGGGACUGGAGAGCAAACAAUGAGAAAUCCCAAAAGGGAGAGGAAUGUCCUAAACCUCGUUUUCUCUCCUAACCAGCGUUACUUACCAAUUAAAAAAAGACAUUCAUUUCUGUGAUCCAUACUCCUGAAGGCUGUAAGCAUCCAGUGGACAAAUGAUGCCUCUUAUUCCUCCCAUGGUGAGGCAGAUGGCCAACAGUGGUACAUAAAACAGCCUGUUCCACUCGUUUUUUGGUAUGUUGUUAACCGUAUGGUAAAUACCCACAUAGAAAUCUUCCAAGGGGAAAGCAACCACAGAUAGCAAAGCAGUGCCUGUAAAUAGAGAAAAAGUGAGAAUAAAUAUGGCACAGACCAACUGAAUCACCAAAUCACAUCGUAAAUAAGGUUUUCUCUCUGUAAGUAGCAUCAUUAUAUGAUUGUCUUAUUAAAAUACUUGUUAAUCAUUGCAAUUCAGGAGAUAGCAUGAUUUUUCUAAACGUGAAAAUUUCCUCCAAUAUGCGCUUUAACUAAUCCAGAGUCCUAGUCACCCCCCAAGCUUGAACUAUCUUUACUCUCAGAAUGUAUACACAAAUCAUGUCCAUUUUAACAAAAUUAGUGCUAUGCAAAAAUACAUCAUGUAAGAAGCUAAAAAUUCCUGUAAUCCCACCCCCAGAGAAAACCACUGCUAACAAGGGUUAUUUGUUCUUAAUCAAGAGAGUGAUAGAAAGCUCGAUGAUCUCAGACACCUUAGAAGCCUGUUAAAUAAAGUGUUUUAAGGAGAACAUCAUUGUAGUUGGAGGAGAACAUAGACUCUCUUUUCCUUUUCUAAUUCUCUUUCUCCUUUUAAUGCCCUUCUUAUUUCUCUCACUUCUCAUGCAGCUCGGUGGAACUUUCUUUGUCCCACACAGAGGUGAGAAGGCUGAGGAGAAGGAUGUGAGGGUGAAUGACGCAGUACAAGUGGAAAAGAGGGGAGGACAGAAAGUGAUAACAGAGGGUUGAGUAUUCUUCUCACUUUCAUCUUGCAGAGACCAUACUGGAAGAUUUUUCUUGUCUAAUAGAAAUUAUAAUUCAAUUCCAUACUUUUGCUAAGCUGUUUAUGUUCUGCAAAACAUUUUGCAUACCAUAUUGUUUCAUCUUGGAAAAACUUUGCGAUGUCAGGGUAUAGAUUUUCUUUUUUUUGAAAAUAUUUAUUUUAUUGCAUCAUUUUACUGACUAGAACAUCAAAUUUAUAGUGGAUAUAAGUAUAAAAAUAACUGAAUUCUUACAAAUAAAACUUUGCUGCUACAGUACUGAAUAAUUAGUGGAGGUUGCAAUUAUAAUACAACUUUAAGUAAUAUUCUCAUAAUGGAUUUAAUACAAUCAAUCAGGGACUAAGGUUUAAAGGUUGCAAAGAGAAAUUCAGGAAAGCAUGAAAACUCAAAGUGUUAAUAUUCCAGCUACAUGCUCCGUUUAACCGUAAAACCAGCAACAUAAACAUGAAUAAAACUCAUGUCAACCCAUGAUGAAGCAUCUUUUUUUAAAGAAAGAGGCCAAGGUUCAAUGAGGUUAAGUGACUUGCCUAAUAUUAUAGAAUAACCCAGAUGUAAUCUCCUUCUUCUUGGAAUUCCUGUCGUCAAGUGGUCAAAUCAUUAAUUUUUUUUUUUGUCGGUUUGAUUAGUGAAAAAUAGCCUCUCCAUGUUAGUAGUGUCUUCCAUUUUCUUCAUGUGGCAUUCAUAUUGUUUUGUAUAAAUUUUUUAUAUGGUUGCUUUAUGUGGUUAGUUUUCUAAAUCAGACUAUAAGCUCCUUCAAGACAAAAGUUUGGCCUAAUGUUUCUGUCUCCCUUACAGUGGGUUUCACAAUGUGAAAAAUAUAUGCACACAAUAGUUAUUUGAUAACAGGUUGGUUUACCAUGAGUGUAGGCCCUUUAAAUGAUUGAGUUUGAAAUGUUUCCUAUCAAGGUUAGCCAGAUGUGCAACUAACUGCUCUCUCUCUGUCACUCAGUCUUUGUCUUGGAAGCGUGACAUGAGGCCUGGCUUAUCCAAAGAGGAUGGACAGAGAAACUGCUUCUUGCAGCAACCAUUUAUUUAGAGACAAAGCACUUUUAGUGGUACCUUUGUGUCCGUUAAAAAGGCACUUUGUUUCUAUCUUUUAAGAAAAUGUCAUAAUAUACUGAUGUCAUUAGAUCAAAACUUUAUUUCUAUCAGCUGUCAAAUUGAUGUAGUAAGAAUACAAAUCAAUGACAUUUAUGAUAAAAAGUUUUCUCUUUGAUCCGUGGUAUUGUGCUCCACAUAAUGAGCAUACCUGUACGUGUAGCUCUGUAUAAAGCACCAAGAUGUGUCAAGAGUAGUGGGGUCCACUGGCUCUUUUCUCCAGAAGCUAAUGAGUCCAUCAGGGAAGGCAGACAUGCAGGUAGACAACUACAUUGUAGUGGAAUAAAUGCAGUCAUAGAGGGAUGAUCAGAGUGUGACUGAGCACAGAGAAGCAAGCAACAAACGCUAUAUGGGUGUGGAAGGAAGGGCAGAAGUUUUCACUUUUUGGAUACAGAGUGGAAAGAUAAAGGAAGGUGACAAUUUCAGGCCUAGAAAAGAGGACUUGUAAGAUUAAAGAAGGAGGAAAGCAGGCAAGGAGAAGUUCAGCAUGGUUGAGUUCAUCUAUUGAGACUGAAGUCUGGAGAGGUAAAUUUGGGACAGAUUGUAAAGGUUUGUAUGUCCUAAGCUGGAUUCUAUGUCUUAGAUAAUAAAGUCAAUAUAUAGGUUUGUUUUUUCCUGAAGUCAAUGUUAUUGAUAGACAGGUGUAUGGACUGGAGUCACUGAUAACUGAUGGUCCAGUCAGUAGGCCAUGGUAACGGUCAAGAAAAAGAAAGCUGCGUUUUUGAGCUAAGGUUGUAGCAAUUCAGACAGAAGAUAUAUUUUUGAUAGAACCUCUGAUAUUUAUUCAUCAGCUGGAAUUUGAUGGCAGCCUUGAGUAGGGGACACAAGAAAAUAACUUUUAGUAAGAAGAUGAAUAGACAGGGAACUGACUGAGGUCUUUAUUUGCCAAAUUCCAAAGGUGGACCUUUAGUCCGAAUCUGAUGACUUACACAGGAAUUUAGACUGAUAGGAAUUACCACUUUACCAACCCCUACUGAUAUGGCCUGUUACCAAGGUAAGAAUGGCAGAUCAUUCAAGCCCUUGCUUAAAUGCCUACUUAUCAGAAAACAAUCCCCCCUACAGAACAGCAACCUUGUCACUGUCCAGUGCAUCUCAUCCCCUUGACCAGCUUUAUUUUUCAUCAUAACACUCGUUAACAUAUGGCAUAUCUAUUUACUUGUUUCUUUUCUCUCUCUCUGCACCAGAAAGUCAACUUCAGCAGAGAAGAGACUGCUUUCUUCUCUGUUACCUUCCGAAAUCCUGGAACAAUGCCCGGCACAUAGGACUGGAUAAAGAAUAUUCAUUGCCAUGCAGUGACUUAAGUUUUAUUUCAAAUUAUUCUAAUUUUUGGAACUAAAGCAGGGAAGAGGUUUAUAAGUUUGAAUCACCCUCUAAUCCAUCCUGUGAAUGGCAAGUUAUCACGUGCCUGGAAUUGUGUGAUAUGUUGAAUACCUGAUAUCCAUCCCUUCCUCAUUCAUCUCUUCCCCCAUCCCCUAAACCUGCAUCUGUGCUGUACUUCUCAGUAUUAGUGAACAGCACACCACCUUCCUAAGUUCCUCAGCUCAGAAACUCGGAGUUAAUUUUUGUUCCUCUAUCAUAUUUGUGCCUUUAUUUAGUUUCCGAGUUUUUUUGGUUUUUCCCAUGUUCUCUCCUGGAUUGACAUGUCUCCGUUGUCUAGGCCAUCAUCCUGAGAGUUCUGGUCUCUGUCUAUUUAACUUCUCAUUGUGGUUGCCCAUCCUGUUUACUGAAGAAAAGCACUUCCCAAAUGUUUUCUUUGUAUCUUCAGUGCCUCCUUGUUGUCUAGAGAACAACUUGAACUUCUCAGCCUAAAAUUCUAGAUUGUUCAUCAAAUAUCAAACAAUCUUGAUAUUUCCUCAACAUUUGUAGCAAUCAAUUCACUCCCAAGCUUUUGUGAAUAUAUUUAUUUUUCUAUAUAAAGAAGCACACUGUAGGAUUUGAAUUAAUUCAUUUUUUUUAGAAUAACUGUAGUUCAUAAUAUAGAAAUCAUGUCUUCAUAUGCAAUCUUAAUUACUAUUUGACUAAUUAAAAGACCACCUUUUGAUGAGAACAUUCCUCAAUUAUUCCACAUGAACUUUAAAAACCUUUUUAGCACAUUUCGUCUUAGUUGUGAAGCAAAUGAACUUCAUGUUUCACAUAGAAUUUGUCACAAAUUUAGACUUGGAGUAGGAAGGGGGAAAAGGAGAGUUUUCUAAGGAGUACAGAAGACAGACACAUAAAGAGGUAAUUAUUAUGAAAUAUAAUCAGUGCAAUGAUAUAGGUAUUAAAGCUUCCUCACAAACACACGCACGAACAUUUACUAGCAUCUCUCAAAUAAUACAGAGAAUGAAAUAAAUUGAAACAACAUUCUCACUUCAUUUAUCACAUUUUAUGCUAAGAGUAAGUUAGGAAUAACAUGAACUAAAACUUCCAACAAAAAUCUAUCCAAUUAGGUUGCAAAACAACAGUCAGAAGAGGACACUCACGUGGAAAAUGUAGAAAUAAACAAAUAUAUACCAGUUUAUUUCUUCCUAGACAGACAUCAGCAAGCCAUCUCGCAAACACAGGGGUAAGUAUUGAAAUUCCAGUAAAACACAAGUUCAAAAUGGCUGCCUGGGAGUUGCCAUAGCCAAGCUUGACGGCGCAAAAAGGGAUCAUAUUGCAGACAACUUCAAAGAAAAUGAACCUCUCACACAGCUCCACCAGAAGCAAACAGAUUCCAACCUGAAUUUUUUCGCAGAGUCUGAUGAAGAGAAACAGCCAACAUGUCUUAUAGUUUUCUCCUUCUUAAAGCUGUGAUUUAAGGGUAUUUUCUCAUCAGUUAUUUUAAAAUCUGUAACAGACUUGACUACCUUUCUUGAAUACAGCUUAUGUUAGUGAUUUGAACUUGGUGAUUUUUACCUCCCCCCUCUACUGAAAAAUAAAUAAUAACUUUGCUUUGAAUUUCACACCUCCAUGCUAAAGUUUCGUAAGGGUUUUUGCACAUUAAUGCUG